Molecule: ribosomal RNA, 894 nt
Filed under: uncultured bacterium
Lineage: Bacteria
Description: bacterial SSU rRNA
Rfam family: Bacterial small subunit ribosomal RNA
Source: RNAcentral
AGAGUUUGAUCCUGGCUCAGGAUGAACGCUAGCUACAGGCUUAACACAUGCAAGUCGAGGGGAAACGACAUCGAAAGCUUGCUUUUGAUGGGCGUCGACCGGCGCACGGGUGAGUAACGCGUAUCCAACCUGCCCAUCACUUGGGGAUAACCUUGCGAAAGUAAGACUAAUACCCAAUGACAUCUAUAGAAGACAUCUGAAAUGGAUUAAAGAUUUAUCGGUGAUGGAUGGGGAUGCGUCUGAUUAGCUUGUUGGCGGGGUAACGGCCCACCAAGGCGACGAUCAGUAGGGGUUCUGAGAGGAAGGUCCCCCACAUUGGAACUGAGACACGGUCCAAACUCCUACGGGAGGCAGCAGUGAGGAAUAUUGGUCAAUGGACGAGAGUCUGAACCAGCCAAGUAGCGUGCAGGAUGACGGCCCUAUGGGUUGUAAACUGCUUUUAUAAGGGAAUAAAGUGAGUCUCGUGAGACUUUUUGCAUGUACCUUAUGAAUAAGGACCGGCUAAUUCCGUGCCAGCAGCCGCGGUAAUACGGAAGGUCCGGGCGUUAUCCGGAUUUAUUGGGUUUAAAGGGAGCGUAGGCCGGAGAUUAAGCGUGUUGUGAAAUGUAGAUGCUCAACAUCUGCACUGCAGCGCGAACUGGUUUCCUUGAGUACGCACAAAGUGGGCGGAAUUCGUGGUGUAGCGGUGAAAUGCUUAGAUAUCACGAAGAACUCCGAUUGCGAAGGCAGCUCACUGGAGCGCAACUGACGCUGAAGCUCGAAAGUGCGGGUAUCGAACAGGAUUAGAUACCCUGGUAGUCCGCACGGUAAACGAUGGAUGCCCGCUGUUGGUCUGAAUAGGUCAGCGGCCAAGCGAAAGCAUUAAGCAUCCCACCUGGGGAGUGCGCCGGCAAC